Molecule: ribosomal RNA, 497 nt
Filed under: uncultured bacterium
Lineage: Bacteria
Description: partial 16S ribosomal RNA
Rfam family: Bacterial small subunit ribosomal RNA
Source: RNAcentral
GAUGAACGCUGGCGGCGUGCCUAAUACAUGCAAGUCGAGCGAACAGAUGAGGAGCUUGCUCCUCUGACGUUAGCGGCGGACGGGUGAGUAACACGUGGAUAACCUACCUAUAAGACUGGGAUAACUUCGGGAAACCGGAGCUAAUACCGGAUAAUAUAUUGAACCGCAUGGUUCAAUAGUGAAAGACGGUUUUGCUGUCACUUAUAGAUGGAUCCGCGCCGCAUUAGCUAGUUGGUAAGGUAACGGCUUACCAAGGCAACGAUGCGUAGCCGACCUGAGAGGGUGAUCGGCCACACUGGAACUGAGACACGGUCCAGACUCCUAAGGGAGGCAGCAGUAGGGAAUCUUACGCAAUGGGCGAAAGCCUGACGGAGCAACGCCGCGUGAGUGAUGAAGGUCUUCGGAUCGUAAAACUCUGUUAUUAGGGAAGAACAAAUGUGUAAGUAACUGUGCACGUCUUGACGGUACCUAAUCAGAAAGCCACGGCUAACUACGUG